AAGGAUGAUCAAAUCCCCGGCCAUGACGCUGUCAGUGAUGGACUUCAGGUCAAUGAUGGUCCUACCGGAGUUUGAAGGCUUCAGUGCCAGCUACCUGCGGCGCAUGGCGCGUGAUGCUAUUGCUGCCUGGGUGCCUCUGCCGCAGCGGCGCAACCUCGACGACUCGCUGGACUACCUAGCUACUCACAUCCUGCCAAAGCUCGAGCGCAAGCUUGACAACCACUCCAGAGUGUUGAAGCAGAUUAAUCUCUACCGAAGUGCCAAGCUUGCAGACGCCAUACCCGAGUAUCUCGACGAAUACAUCAAGCGAAUGUUCGCUACUGUGCCGCUGCAUCAGCUUGACAUCACUGAGCCUGAUGUCGAGGAUCCGGACCUUGAGGACCCUAACCUCCUGGAUGGCUUGGAUGAUGACGACCUCAAGUUAAAGAAAGAAGAUUGCGAUUUGUUUAGUGAUGAUGACAUUGAUUCGCAGAAAGAUGAUUGCGAGUUGUACGAAGAUGAUGACUUCGAGUUGGGCGAGAGCGAACACCACUAGGAUGAGGGUUGUAUUGCGAGUUGUAUGAUGACAAUGUUUUACGUCAUCUUACGACCCAUAGGAUGAUGAUAAUAAUGUCAAGUUGGAAGAGUUGGAUGAGUGUGAUGAUGAGUCGAACAGUGAUUGUAGUAUUGUAAGCCCAUUCCGUACUACUGACAGGCAUGCAACCUUUCUUUGAGCCUAGUCAUAGAAUUAGAAGCACUUCGUCCUGUAUGUCCCUGCGAGGUGGUCUGAGCUACUUAGGCUGCAGAGCACGACUCUAAGGGCACAGCGGAGUCCUUCUCCUCUCGCGACUCCUCUCAUUAUGUCGCUACUCUCAUUAUUGCCCUCAGAUAACUUUAUGCGCCUCUUG
Hyalella azteca is the source of this 887-nucleotide RNA transcript. RefSeq lists it as uncharacterized. The record is from RefSeq and is a predicted model, not a curated record. The transcript is spliced from 3 exons. Lineage: Eukaryota; Metazoa; Arthropoda; Malacostraca; Amphipoda; Hyalellidae.